UUCCCACAUCGAGCUCUCUUCCUCCUCUCUCUCUCUCUAGUGAGUUCCACACCGGUCGCCGACGCCACAAGAUCUAGCUUCUCCACCAACUUCCGGCAGUGGAUCCGGCUUCUGCGGCCGUCACCUACCACGGGGGACACACCCAAGAUCGGCAGCUUCGCGGCUGUACCACCAGGCCGGUGAAGAGCGACGCCAAAUCACGCCGGCGGACGACGGAUCCACUGCGGUGGGCGUUGCGGAGAGCUACUCCGGCGAGGUUCCACCACGACGGGUCACCGCGCACGGGCGUCGCUGGAUCCGGCGACUCCAAAUCUGACCGCCACCAGAUCUGGAUAGAAACUCCGCCUUCUACAUCUCAAGCUACCGAUCCAAGAAUAAACCAUGGAGCGGAAGGUGUCAAUAGUAGUUGCAUCUAUGUUCAUAUUAGCACUCAUCUUCUGUCAUGGUACAGAUGCUAAGUGUAAGCAACAAACCUACAAACUUCCUGUUCCAUGUAAUCAUGACAGUUGUGAUCCUUUUUGCACACAACAUAAGUAUGAAUCUGGGACAUGUGGUUUUACUGGCGAUCCUGA
Molecule: long non-coding RNA, 572 nt
Organism: Triticum dicoccoides
Lineage: Eukaryota; Viridiplantae; Streptophyta; Magnoliopsida; Poales; Poaceae
Exons: 3
Source: RefSeq, a predicted model, not a curated record